Long non-coding RNA from Juglans regia (Persian walnut), 1768 nucleotides. RefSeq lists it as uncharacterized. The record is from RefSeq and is a predicted model, not a curated record. The transcript has 4 exons. Lineage: Eukaryota; Viridiplantae; Streptophyta; Magnoliopsida; Fagales; Juglandaceae.
AUCUCGCACUCUCUGUAACACUAACAUCUCUCUCUCUCUCUCUCAAAGUCGUCUCGAGGUUUUUCCUCACCUUCUUUGCUGAGGAUGUUCGCCUUUUCGCUAUGUUAUUCAUUCUGUCAUUUGUAAGUCCCUUCCUCUGAUUUACAUUUGGUUUAUGGCGACUGUUUUUCUGCGUUGUUGGCGUAGAUGGACGGUUUAUGUAUGGAAGAUUUCUGGAGGCCCCGAUGAAGAAGAUACGCCUUGAAUUACAUGAAAAGCUGUUAUUUCCAUUCAAAUUAUGGGAGAGGACGACUUUCUUGGCAUUGCCACAUACAAUUGGGAUUGGAGGAUAUAUUCUGAGAAUUGAUGCAACAAAAUCUGGUAAGGGUAAAAGUGUAUUCGGCUGAGGAACCUCUCAAAAUGCCCUGUUGAUAAGGUGAUUGAUGGGACCCAGUUGGUUGGUUUUUAACAUACAUAAGCAAUGUUUGUACAUGGGUGUGCAGUCGCGUGCAAAUUCAUAUUAUAUUUUAUACGAGAAGAUAAAGGAAGAUGCUCAUGACUGUGCCUCGCAAAAUGUAUGUUGUGCAACAGGUAAAAGACAUGGGAUGAUUUCUAGCAAGUAUGUAGUAUGUACCACUCGCUGCAUUCAGACCUCAUGAAGGUCAGACUGUUUGGUCGGCUGCAUUUGAGCUGCUCACCAUCCACCAGAUCACAUCAUACUUAUCACUUUGUACAUAUGCCCAUCACUAACUUUUUUUUUCCCAGUCCAAGUCACGGCAGUGCUGUUCGUUUUACUGCUACCUCUGACAUUAUGUAUGUCUAUUCAUUUUUAUUUUCGAUAUUUAACUAUCAUUUUUUGUAUAAGUAAUCAAGAAGUUUUAUUCAUAAAAGUAGGCAAAGCCCAAGUACAUUCGAUUUUUAACUAACAUUGGCAUGGACUUGUGUUUUUGUUUCUGGAAUUGCAUUUCAACAAGCGUUUUCCAAGAUGUAAGAUGUUUUCUUAUAAUGGUCGUUUUAUGGUGUGUUCAAUUUAAUUGUGUGAAACCUGUUUGUCGGGGCCACUGAAUUGAGUGAAAAUGUGGACCUUAACAAGUGAAGAAGGCUGACUACUGCCGAGAGAUAGAAUCGUGGAAGUGUUCCCAGACAUUGGAGUUGAAGAGUACAGCUGAACCCCGUGUUGAGGAGGCAUUCUUCAAUCAAUUGCAGCAUUAUUCACUCAGACUAUGUUCCUAAUUCAGCAGCAACCCACGCGGAUUUUAUACCGUUUAUUGUGCCUAGAAAAGCCAGAUUCAAAUGUUGUGUGAUGCAACUGGUUCUGAAGGAUUUGCUGCUUUGGACCCAUCUUGAAAUAAGCCUACUGAGAAAGUCCCCUUAGCUGGUUCUGGACCCAUACAAAGCAUACAAGUAGUUCUGAGUGUGCAACUGCAGCGAGAUAUCCUGUAAGCUCUCAUUUUUCUGAGGCAGCCACUUCAAAAGAAAUUAAUAGUUUUAGUACGAUAUCUAAGACUGUUGCACUGACUACAGUAUUUGGGAGUGGUUGUAUAUGGUAAUUGAACCCACUGGGAGGUAAACUUUUAAUCAUUUCUAGAUUCUUCAUUCUCUAGCGACCUCAUGUUUCAUUUAUGAUUUCUACAAGUUAUCUCGGUACGCGAGGCAUCGUUAUUUUUUAUCUUCAAUAAAAUGUUUGAGACUCAGCCAUUGAGCGGCCAUGGAAAACACCUUUUUUUCUAUUUUUAGAAUUGGAGGGUGGGUUCAUUGUUGAGACUUUGGUCUAUCCUAUGUAAUUUAU